This 477-nucleotide ribosomal RNA is filed under the name uncultured bacterium. Its description in RNAcentral is "partial 16S ribosomal RNA". It matches the Rfam family "Bacterial small subunit ribosomal RNA", at positions 28 to 507 of the family's 1533-position model. The record is from RNAcentral.
GAUUAACGCUGGCGGCGUGCAUAACACAUGCAAGUCGAACGAUGAAACUUUAAUGACCCCUUCGGGGAGAAUUAAAGCGGAUUAGUGGCGAACGGGUGAGUAACGCGUGAGUAACCUGCCUUACACAAGGGGAUAGCCUUUGGAAACGAAGAAUAAUACCCUAUAAAACCAUAAAAGCACAUGCAAUUAUGGUCAAAGUGAUAGCGGUGUAAGAUGGACUUGCGUCUGAUUAGCUAGUUGGUGAGAUAAAAGCCCACCAAGGCAACGAUCAGUAGCCGGCUUGAGAGAGUGUACGGCCACAUUGGGACUGGGACACGGCCCAGACUCCUACGGGAGGCAGCAGUGGGGAAUUUUGCACAAUGGGGGAAACCCUGAUGCAGCGACGCCGCGUGAUUUAGAAGGCCUUCGGGUUGUAAAAAUCUUUUGUAUAGGAAGAAAAUGACAGUACUAUACGAAUAAGGUCCGGCUAAUUACGUG